UACAGGGGGGGCAAGCGUUGUCCGGAAUUACUGGGCGUAAAGGGCUCGUAGGCGGCCAACUAAGUCAGACGUGAAAUCCCUCGGCUUAACCGGGGAACUGCGUCUGAUACUGGAUGGCUUGAGUUUGGGAGAGGGAUGCGGAAUUCCAGGUGUAGCGGUGAAAUGCGUAGAUAUCUGGAGGAACACCGGUGGCGAAGGCGGCAUCCUGGACCAACACUGACGCUGAGGAGCGAAAGCCAGGGGAGCAAACGGGGAUUAGAAACCCCCUGGUAGU
Molecule: ribosomal RNA, 274 nt
Filed under: uncultured bacterium
Lineage: Bacteria
Description: partial 16S ribosomal RNA
Rfam family: Bacterial small subunit ribosomal RNA
Source: RNAcentral